AUUGAACGCUGGCGGCAUGCCUUACACAUGCAAGUCGAACGGCAGCACGGGAGCAAUCCUGGUGGCGAGUGGCGAACGGGUGAGUAAUAUAUCGGAACGUGCCCAGUCGUGGGGGAUAACUACUCGAAAGAGUAGCUAAUACCGCAUGAGAUCUACGGAUGAAAGCAGGGGGACCUUCGGGCCUUGUGCUACUAGAGCGGCUGAUGGCAGAUUAGGUAGUUGGUGGGGUAAAGGCUUACCAAGCCUGCGAUCUGUAGCUGGUCUGAGAGGACGACCAGCCACACUGGGACUGAGACACGGCCCAGACUCCUACGGGAGGCAGCAGUGGGGAAUUUUGGACAAUGGGCGAAAGCCUGAUCCAGCAAUGCCGCGUGCAGGAUGAAGGCCCUCGGGUUGUAAACUGCUUUUGUACAGGAAGAAACACUCCCUCGUGAGGGAGCUUGACGGUACUGUAAGAAUAAGGAUCGGCUAACUCCGUGCCAG
RNAcentral lists this ribosomal RNA (483 nucleotides) under uncultured bacterium. RNAcentral's name for it is "bacterial SSU rRNA". It matches the Rfam family "Bacterial small subunit ribosomal RNA", at positions 30 to 511 of the family's 1533-position model. The record is from RNAcentral.